UACGGGAGGCAGCAGUGGGGAAUAUUGCACAAUGGGCGCAAGCCUGAUGCAGCCAUGCCGCGUGUAUGAAGAAGGCCUUCGGGUUGUAAAGUACUUUCAGUCGUGAGGAAGGUGUUAAGGUUAAUAACCUUAGCAAUUGACGUUAGCGACAGAAGAAGCACCGGCUAACUCCGUGCCAGCAGCCGCGGUAAUACGGAGGGUGCGAGCGUUAAUCGGAAUUACUGGGCGUAAAGGGCACGCAGGCGGUUAAUUAAGUUGGAUGUGAAAUCCCCGGGCUUAACCUGGGAAUGGCAUUCAAGACUGGUUAGCUAGAGUCUUGUAGAGGGGGUAGAAUUCCAUGUGUAGCGGUGAAAUGCGUAGAGAUGUGGAGGAAUACCGGUGGCGAAGGCGGCCCCUGGCAAAGACUGACGCUCAUGUGCGAAAGCGUGGGGAGCAAACGAGGAUUAGAUACC
This 452-nucleotide ribosomal RNA is filed under the name uncultured bacterium. RNAcentral's name for it is "bacterial SSU rRNA". It matches the Rfam family "Bacterial small subunit ribosomal RNA", at positions 340 to 786 of the family's 1533-position model. The record is from RNAcentral.